Molecule: ribosomal RNA, 870 nt
Filed under: uncultured bacterium
Lineage: Bacteria
Description: bacterial SSU rRNA
Rfam family: Bacterial small subunit ribosomal RNA
Source: RNAcentral
GAUGUACGCUAGCGGCAGGCUUAACACAUGCAAGUCGAACGGUAACAGGUGUAGCAAUACAUGCUGACGAGUGGCGCACGGGUGCGUAACGCGUAUGCAACUUACCUCUAACUGGAAGAUACCCUUCCGAAAGGAAGAAUAAUACUCCAUUAUAUUUCGAUGUGGCAUCACAUUGUUCUUAAAGCUUCGGCGGUUAGAGAUAGGCAUGCGUCUGAUUAGCUUGUUGGUGAGGUAAUGGCUCACCAAGGCAACGAUCAGUAGGGGGCCUGAGAGGGUUAUCCCCCACACUGGUACUGAGACACGGACCAGACUCCUACGGGAGGCAGCAGUGAGGAAUAUUGGUCAAUGGACGCAAGUCUGAACCAGCCAUGCCGCGUGCAGGAUGAAUGCCCUAUGGGUUGUAAACUGCUUUUAUAUAGGAAUAAACCUCUUUACGUGUAAAGAGCUGAAGGUACUAUAAGAAUAAGGACCGGCUAACUCCGUGUCAGCAGCCGCGGUAAUACGGAGGGUCCAAGCGUUAUCCGGAUUUAUUGGGUUUAAAGGGUCCGCAGGCGGGAAAAUAAGUCAGUGGUGAAAUCCUAUCGCUUAACGAUAGAACUGCCAUUGAUACUGUUUUUCUUGAGUAUACUUGAAGUGGGCGGAAUGUGUCAUGUAGCGGUGAAAUGCAUAGAUAUGACACAGAACACCGAUUGCGAAGGCAGCUCACUAAAUUAUAACUGACGCUCAUGGACGAAAGCGUGGGGAGCAAACAGGAUUAGAUACCCUGGUAGUCCACGCCGUAAACGAUGAUUACUCGGUGCUAGCGAUAUACGGCUAGUGCCUAAGCGAAAGCGAUAAGUAAUCCACCUGGGGAAUACGGUCGCAAGAUUG